AACAGAAUAAUAUUAUAUGAUUGAGAGAGACAUAAGAAGAACAGAACAGGCUAUAACUGAAGAGGAUAGACAGUAACAAACAAGAACCCGAGACAGCCACAGACAAGACAGAAAAAGUGACAGAAGAGAUGGAGAGAGAACAGAGGACAACCCAGGGCAAUGAAACUGAUUCCAGAGGCCGACCCAAAACAACUUAGGAGGCACGCACACCAUCCACAGCUUUUUUUGUAUUUUUUAUUAACCAGAGAUCUGUGAAACCCUGUAUGCAGAUGAAGAGGUCCCAAUGAACGUCCCAAGAGAAUAAGAGUACAUCUUUUUAUACCAUGGGUUAUACACUGAGUGUACAAAACAUUAGGAACACAUUCGAAAGCAUUCAACAGGGAUACUGGCCCAUGUUGACUCCAAUACUUCCCACAGUUGUACGCCUGUCACCUACUACCACACUCUGUUCAA
This is a long non-coding RNA of Oncorhynchus gorbuscha (pink salmon), 453 nucleotides long. RefSeq lists it as uncharacterized. The transcript is spliced from 3 exons. The record is from RefSeq and is a predicted model, not a curated record. NCBI's taxonomy places the organism in Eukaryota, Metazoa, Chordata, Actinopteri, Salmoniformes, Salmonidae.